UAAUUCCACUCAAAAGCUUUCCUUACCUUCUGCACACAGCCCCAUGUCAAUCAACUGAGCGUCCCUCUCUCCUUAGCGGCUGUCCCCUGAAUGCCCCUGGAGAAUAGAAGAUGGAUGGACUAUGCUGAGAGCCUGAAAUGUGAAUUAAUGGAUGUUGAAGACUUUGGUGGCUUCCAAAAGUAGUGAGGACUAAUUGAUAGGUGGUAUCCAUUGAGGUUGUAGCCAAUGAAGAUGAGGAAGCCUGCAACUCUGGUUUUGUUGGAAGGAUAGAAUACUAUGGAAGAACACUUAAAUAGACUUCAGAGACCUUUCCUCAUUUGGAGAAGGUGUGGGGACGAAUGUUAAACACAAGUCUGGGCUUACAUCUUUGAAGCAAAUUGGAAUCUUGACCACAAGCAAUGAAGGUAGCUAGUCUAAUUUGAAGACUAUUUGCAGAGACCAGCACAAAGACAUUAUUAAAGCAGAAAAGAAAGUAUUUGUUGCGAGCCACCAGCUGCAUGGGGAACUUGCCCAAAUCAUACAGCCCUGAGCUUUACAGCUGUCUUUUAUGUAAACAAAAACAACAACAACAAAAAUAACAACCACAUUCUGGAUCCCAGUUGUUACACUCUAGUUAUGAAAAGUACAACUAGAGAGGACAAAA
Long non-coding RNA from Mastomys coucha (southern multimammate mouse), 643 nucleotides. RefSeq lists it as uncharacterized. The transcript is spliced from 5 exons. The record is from RefSeq and is a predicted model, not a curated record. NCBI's taxonomy places the organism in Eukaryota, Metazoa, Chordata, Mammalia, Rodentia, Muridae.